CAGUCUCAGUUCGGAUUGAAGGCUGAAAUUCGCCUUCAUGAAGCCGGAAUUGCUAGUAAUGGCAGGUCAGCAUACUGCCGUGAAUACGUUCCCGGGCCUUGUACACACCGCCCGUCACACCAUGAGAGUUGGAGAUACCCGAAGCCUAUGAGCUAACUUUUAGAGGCAGUAGUCGAAGGUAGAAUCAAUGAUUGGGGUGAAGUCGUAACAAGGUACC
This 217-nucleotide ribosomal RNA is filed under the name uncultured bacterium. RNAcentral describes it as "partial 16S ribosomal RNA". It matches the Rfam family "Bacterial small subunit ribosomal RNA", at positions 1283 to 1500 of the family's 1533-position model. The record is from RNAcentral.